UUUCUUCUUAACAUGAAGCCCACCGUGGAAUCGGGUUAACCGGAGAUACGGUAGGAAGCUUGGCAAAGCACCUUACGUCUUGAGGUGUCCGGUGCGCUCUCGACGCCCCUUGAAAAGUGAAGGGAAGCGUUCAUUCUCAUACCUGGCCGUACUCAUAACCGCAUCAGGUCUCCAAGGUGAACAGCCUCUGGCCCAUGGAACAAUG
RNAcentral lists this ribosomal RNA (205 nucleotides) under Schizochytrium aggregatum. RNAcentral describes it as "partial Eukaryotic large subunit ribosomal RNA". It matches the Rfam family "Eukaryotic large subunit ribosomal RNA", at positions 1696 to 1900 of the family's 3401-position model. Lineage: Eukaryota; Bigyra; Thraustochytrida; Thraustochytriidae. The record is from RNAcentral.